Molecule: ribosomal RNA, 718 nt
Filed under: uncultured beta proteobacterium
Lineage: Bacteria; Pseudomonadati; Pseudomonadota; Betaproteobacteria
Description: bacterial SSU rRNA
Rfam family: Bacterial small subunit ribosomal RNA
Source: RNAcentral
AUUGAACGCUGGCGAACGCUUUACACAUGCAAGUCGAACGGUAACGCGGUGAGAAGCUUGCUUCUCACCGGCGACGAGUGGCGAACGGGUGAGUAAUACAUCGGAACGUGUCCGCUCGUGGGGGACAACCAGCCGAAAGGUUGGCUAAUACCGCAUGAGUUCUACGGAAGAAAGAGGGGGACCCGCAAGGGCCUCUCGCGAGCGGAGCGGCCGAUGACUGAUUAGCCGGUUGGUGAGGUAACGGCUCACCAAAGCAACGAUCAGUAGCUGGUCUGAGAGGACGACCAGCCACACUGGGACUGAGACACGGCCCAGACUCCUACGGGAGGCAGCAGUGGGGAAUUUUGGACAAUGGGCGCAAGCCUGAUCCAGCUAUUCCGCGUGUGGGAUGAAGGCCCUCGGGUUGUAAACCACUUUUGUAGAGAACGAAAAGACACCUUUUAAAAAAGGGUGUUGCUGACGGUACUCUAAGAAUAAGCACCGGCUAACUACGUGCCAGCAGCCGCGGUAAUACGUAGGGUGCGAGCGUUAAUCGGAAUUACUGGGCGUAAAGGGUGCGCAGGCGGUUGAGUAAGACAGAUGUGAAAUCCCCGAGCCUAACUCGGGAAUGGCAUAUGUGACUGCUCGACUAGAGUGUGUCAGAGGGAGGUGGAAUUCCACGUGUAGCAGUGAAAUGCGUAGAUAUGUGGAAGAACACCGAUGGCGAAGGCAGCCUCCU